This 232-nucleotide long non-coding RNA is filed under the name Lathyrus oleraceus (garden pea). Its description in RNAcentral is "Pisum sativum (pea) long non-coding RNA (PSAT_LNC038339)". Lineage: Eukaryota; Viridiplantae; Streptophyta; Magnoliopsida; Fabales; Fabaceae. The record is from RNAcentral.
ACAAAUUGGUCAUGGGAGGAGUUUCAUUAAAUCAAAACCAUCAAUUCAUUUUGGGAGAUGAAAUGUACAUUUCAUCAAUCCCCUAAAUCCAAUAGUUUUGAUCCAACAAAAGUCAAAUCAAUCUUGACCAAGGCCCAAACAGAAAGUCAAACAUCACAAGAUCAUAAAAAUGGCUCAACAUAAUUUUUAAACAUUUAACCAAUUAAAAAUCCAAUUAAAAGUGAACUAAAAU